RNAcentral lists this long non-coding RNA (2970 nucleotides) under Homo sapiens (human). RNAcentral's name for it is "HSALNT0180392". The record is from RNAcentral. Lineage: Eukaryota; Metazoa; Chordata; Mammalia; Primates; Hominidae.
GAGCCACUGCACCCAGCCUGUUCUCUCUUAAAAGAUCUGUUCAUGUGAUUUACUCAAUAUUUUGGUUCCUCUUUGUGGAAGAGGCACAUCCUAGCUGCAUCUAGUCAGCCAUGUUGAACCUGGUAUCUUUAUUGCAUUUUUCAUUUGUUGUACUCUGCAGCUAUGGAACUUUUUUUAUUUCAAUCUAUUAAAUUUCUCAUUUUGUUUUCCUGAUUUCAUUGAAUUGUUCCUCUGUAUUUCCUUGGUUUGCUGAGCUUCCUUAAAAUGAUUACUUUGAAUUCUUUGUUAUGUAGUUUGUUGCUCUCCAUUUCUCUGGCAUUAGCUACUGGGAAAUUAUUGUGUUCUUUUGAUAUUGAUGUUUUCUUGGCUUUUCAUGUUUCUUUUUACCUUACGUUGAUGUUUGAGCAUUUGGUGCAGCAGUCACCUCUUCCAGACUUUUAAGACUGGUUUUGUUAAGGAAAGACUUCCCCUGUGAGAGGGGGAUGUGAGGGCACUGGCUGGGUGAGGUGCAGUGAUUCUGGCAGCUGUGAGGAUGCAACAGUGUAGUCUCCUUGUAGCUCUUUCAGCUGAGAUCACUGUUGAAAACUGCAGGGAUCCUCAGCAACCAACACUGUCAGUGUUUGCAGCAGUGGUAAGGGCUGUUGGGGUGCUUGGUGAUGAUGACUGUAGGGUCCUCUUGAUCUCUCUUUCCCCGACCAGGGAAGUUGUGGCUAAAGGGAUCCUUCUUGACACUGGGUCUGGCAUGCAAGCCCACUUGAGGUGGCAAUGGAACUGGUGUCUGAUGAGUGAUGCCCACAGAGCAGCAUGUGUAAAGGGACUAUAGCUCUGGGGUGGUAAUGGCACUGGUGCCCAGGGCACAGACACCCUGCUGGUGAAGUAUGGGAGCUUGUGAAACAGGCAGGGACAAGAGCACAAGUGUGCACACAGCUACAGCGGCUUUAGUGUGGAGGCAAGGCCUGGCCCUCUGUGAUGACUGAGCUGGUCUCCAGGGUGUAAACACAUAGAGAAACCUUGGCUCUGGGGCCCAGGGUGUAAACUCCCUUACUAUGGCAGUGGCUUUACUGUUUGCGGUAUAGGUGUGCACAGCCCAGCCUUGGAGUCAGGGCCUGGAGCAUGGGCUCUCAAUGGCAGCUGAGCUGGUGUUUGGAGUGUGGACAUGCAGAGAGAUCUUGGCUCUGGAGUGCAAACUAGCUUGCUAUGGCCAUGGCUGUUGGUUACCUUUGUGGCAAAAGAAGGUGGUAUCCUCUGCAGAGCAGGCCACAUGACUGAUAUCGAUAGUGCCUGCCUUUCUUCUUAGCCAUCUUCUGGUGUCUCAGGAAUUCUGAUCUCAUAAGCAAUUUUUUAUGUGCAUUUUUUCUUUUAAUUCUCCACUAGGUUGUUGCACAUUUUUUAAUGGGCCCUUGAGGCUGGGUGCAGUAGCUCAUGCCUGUAAUUCUAGCAGUUUGGGAGGCUGAGGCAGUAGGAUCGCUUGAGCUCAAGAGUUUGAGACCAGCAUAGGCAACAUAGUGAGGCCCUGUUUCUACUCAGAAACAAAAAUAAAAAACAACCAAAAACUUAGUCAAGCAUGGUGGCACCUGAGUCCCAGCUAUUUGGGGAGUCUGAGGUGGGAGGAUCACUUCAGCCCAGGAGUUUGAGGCUGCAGUGUGCUAUGAUCACACCACUGCACUCCAGCAUAGGCGACACAGUGAGAGAUCCUGCCAUUCAUUAAUUCAUACAAACAUAUAUACAUAUAUUAAGACAAUUGCCCUUGAGCCCUCCAGGGCUAUUUUGGUUUGUGGAUAGCAGUGUGUAUUUGUUUCUUUUGACGGGGCAUGAAGGCUGUUAUCUCCUCCACCAUUUUGGUGACAUCACUUGCCAAAAUUUCCAUAUACUUCUGAUUUGUGCAUUUUUUGGUGGGUAUAAUGUAAUUUUAAAAAAGUGAUUAGCUGAAAGUUAGGAGGGCCUUUUUACCCCCAGAACAGACAUCAUGUUUAUUACAUCCACUCUCAUACCUAUGGACUAAAAGCAAGACACAUACCCACACCUAAAGUUGUUGGGGGGGUAAACUGUGGCCAUUGUGAAGCCAUAGCAAAGUGAGGAGGGAGGCAGAAAUAUCCAAAGAGGGUACUUUUUUUUUCCCCCUUGGGUAUCAGAAAAUUGGCUUUGUCGGGAUUAAUAAGACUUUUUAAAAGCACUUGUGCAAGACAGUAUCCUAAAUAAUUUACAUGAAGUAUCUUAUAUAAUCCUCAUGCAAUAACCCUGUGCAGUAAGUACUGUUACCAUCCCCAUUUUACAGAUGACAUGGAGGAUAAGAGGAGUAACUUACUCAAGGUCAUACAGCUAGUAUGUAGUAGAGGAAGCACUUAACCCCAAGCAAUCUGACAUCAGAGCUUGACUAUAGGAGGGUACUUAAAAUUUUUUUUUGGCUGGGUGCAGUGGGUGAGUCCUGUAAUCCCAGCACUCUGGGAGGCCAAGGCAGGAGGAUUGCUUGACGCUGUAAGUUUGAGACUAGCCUGGGCAACAUGGCAAGACCCCGUCUCUACAAAAAUGUUUUAAAAAUAGCUGGGUGUGGUGGUGCAUGCCUGUAGUCCUAGCUACUUAGGAGGCUGAGGCUGGAGGAUAGCUUGAACUGAGCCAAGGGGUUCAAAGUUAGUUAUAGUGAGCUAUGAUUGUGCCACUGCACUCCAGCCUCGGUGACAGAGCAAGACCCUGUCUCUAAAAACACAAUCAGAUCGCUGAGCUCUACCCCAGAAUUUCCAACUCAACAUGGUUGGGGCCAAAGAAUUUGCAUUUUCUAACACGUUCCCAGGUGGUGCUGCUGCUCCUUACCCAGACAACCCCACUUGCAAUCUGCCCUUUUGAGUGUUUUCUAUUUAUCUUGAGUUUAAUGAAAUGAAGCAAAAUCACACACUUAAAACUUUUAGAAGGAGAACAAUUUUAUUCUAAAAAUAGAACUUGGUAACAAUGAAAUACCAAAAGCUGGUCAUUAUA